UCCCUGGUGGCUCAGACGGUAAAGCGUCUGCCUGCAAUGCGGGAGACCUGGGUUCAAUUCCUGGGUGGGGAA
RNAcentral lists this transfer RNA (72 nucleotides) under Ovis aries (sheep). It matches the Rfam family "tRNA". From Rfam's summary of the family: Transfer RNA (tRNA) molecules are approximately 80 nucleotides in length. Lineage: Eukaryota; Metazoa; Chordata; Mammalia; Artiodactyla; Bovidae. The record is from Rfam by way of RNAcentral.